Long non-coding RNA from Rhinopithecus bieti (black snub-nosed monkey), 1563 nucleotides. The record is from Ensembl. Lineage: Eukaryota; Metazoa; Chordata; Mammalia; Primates; Cercopithecidae.
CUGAGCCAGUAGGAGUAGCAGAAAGAGGGAGCUGACUGGACAUGUGAGAGUGGGAACACUGAGGUUCAUGCUAAGAGUAUGGCCAUGAGUAUGGCCCAGAGUAUGGCCAUGGCAAAGACAAAGGAGAUUUAAGAUAUGGCAUUCCUAGGGUAAAGCAAGCUCAGGGUAUGGUGAGAUUGCAAAUGAACCCACUGAUCUGUUAUUUCAUCUCAGCAACAUAAGUGGAGCUGAUUCGGCAUUUUCUGUCUGUGUGGUCUCUUAAAGAAGCAGCCUCGGGGAACUGGAGAAAACAAAGGAUACAUAUUACCUCAUAAGAAGAAUGCUGUGGAAAAAAAGGAAAGAUGAGAAUGUUACAAUCAACGCAUGGAAAUAUUUAAGCAAAAUUAAAACUUACACCACACAAGGAAUAGUACCGGGAAUCGAAUAUUAAGGGCCUCAGGAUGGAAACAUGACUGCUACAACAAAUUACUACAACUUCGGCGGCUUAAAAAAACAGAAAAUUAUCCUUUCACAACUGUGUAUGCCAGAAGACUGAAGCCUGAAAUUAGCAUCAUUGGACCUCAAUCAACCAAAGUGUCAGCAGGGAUGUGCCCUCUCCAGAGGCUCUGGAGGAGAAUUUGUUCCUUACUUCUUCCAGCUCCUGGAGGCUGCCCCCAUUCCUUAUUUUGUGGCCACUUCACUUCAAUCUCUGCCUCCUUUCACAUUGCCUUUUCUUCUGUGUAUGUCAAAUGUCCCUCUGCUUCUCUUUUAUAAAGACACAUGUGAUGACAUUUUGGGCCUGUCUAGAUAAUUCAGGAUAAUCUCACCAUCUUAAAAUCAUUAAUUUAAUCACACCUACAAAGAACAUUUUUUUUUUUUUUUAAAUAAGGUAACAAUUACAAGUUCCAGGGAAUGGGAACUGAUAUAUUUAGGGGUGAUUAUCAGUCCAUUACAGAAGACAAGACAUAGAUCAGACAGUAUAGCCCGUGUGCAUAGCAGUGAAUAGCCUAUUUCCUAUUUUCUCAGUAAUGAAAUAGCUUUGCACUGGGCAUUCUUUGUGUUUACCACAACUAUGAUUAAUAUUUCUUACAAAGUAUCUGUCUAAUAGAGUUUUAAAAUUGAUGUGAGUUUGCCUGUUUUCCACAACUACAAUCUUAUGAUAGUAUGAAUUGAUAUGCCUAGAGUGAGCACAAAGGCAGUUAUAAUUUAUGACUUGUUUCCUUAAAAAUCUUGUCUUCACACAUGAUAUAAAGUAAAUCAAAACAAAUAACCAUAAUUUGGAAUUUUAUAUUUGAAUGUCAGACUAUAACUACUGCAUUUAUUUUAUAUAGACAUAUUUCCAUCAUGUUUAAUUUAUUGGAGCCUACUUAUCAGAGAAAUAGUAAUAUACCUUUAAGUUUUGUUGACUGGGAAUUUUUAGAUUUGCAUUGUGUCUCAUCCUCAUCUAAUGGAAAACCUUGGUUUUUAUAGGUUAAAUAGAAGUCUGGUAAGUGUGGUGGACUAGCCAAGAUCAAAUAAAUAGAUAGAUGUCAAGCCUCAAUGCCCAGGGCACUAUCAUUUUCACUAUUCUAGUUUUCCUCUCCC